UACGGGGGGGGCAAGCGUUAUUCGGAAUUAUUGGGCGUAAAGGGCGCGUAGGCGGCUAGACAAGUCAAAGGUGAAAUCCCUCGGCUCAACUGAGGAACUGCCUUUGAAACUGCAUAGCUUGAGUCCGGGAGGGGGUAGCGGAAUUCCCAGUGUAGCGGUGAAAUGCGUAGAUAUUGGGAGGAACACCAGUGGCGAAGGCGGCUACCUGGACCGGAACUGACGCUGAUGCGCGAAAGCGUGGGUAGCAAACAGG
This 253-nucleotide ribosomal RNA is filed under the name uncultured bacterium. Its description in RNAcentral is "partial 16S ribosomal RNA". It matches the Rfam family "Bacterial small subunit ribosomal RNA", at positions 524 to 776 of the family's 1533-position model. The record is from RNAcentral.